AAUAGAUACCCGGGUAGUCCACGCCGUAAACGAUGGAUACUAGCUGUUGGAGGUAUCGACCCCUUCAGUAGCGAAGCUAACGCGUUAAGUAUCCCGCCUGUGGAGUACGGUCGCAAGACUAAAACAUAAAGGAAUUGACGGGGACCCGCACAAGCGGUGGAUCAUGUUCUUUAAUUCGAUGCUAAACGAAGAACCUUACCAGGGCUUGACAUCCCGAGAAUUCCUCCGAAAGGAGAGAGUGCUUUUAGAACUCGGUGACAGAUGUUGCAUGGCCGUCGUCAGCUCGUGUCGUGAGAUGUUUGGUUAAGUCCAUCAACGAGCGCAACCCUUGUGAAUAGUUGUAUUUUUCUAUUCAGACUGCCCCGGCAACGGGGAGGAAGGAGGGGAUGAUGUCAGGUCAGUAUUACUCUUACGUCCUGGGCUAGAAACGUGAUACAAUGGCAGGUACAAUGCGCAGCGAAGCCGCGAGGUGAAGCAAAUCGCACCAAAGCCUGUCCCAGUUCGGAUUGGAGGCUGAAACUCGCCUCCAUG
This 531-nucleotide ribosomal RNA is filed under the name uncultured bacterium. RNAcentral describes it as "bacterial SSU rRNA". It matches the Rfam family "Bacterial small subunit ribosomal RNA", at positions 777 to 1322 of the family's 1533-position model. The record is from RNAcentral.